AGAGCAUCAAAGCAGGAUAGCAUCCUGUGGGCAGCCCAGGGCAGGACCAGCGGGUACAAGGCGGCAGCGAGGAGCUGUGUGGAAGAACCACUCGUCUGCAAGUGCAGCAGAUACUGAACUCGACUGUUUUGCUCUCCGCUGGUGAUCGUGGAGGUCCCAAAGAACACCAAAAAGCCAAAGAAGCCUUAACCUAAAGUUGCUGCCACAUUGUUUUCUACUUUGGCAUGUCUGAUGCCAUAUUAGAAAAUAUUUUAAAUGGGUUUAAAUGUGAGGAAUUGAAGGAAUGUCGAAUUGUGCUAGAUUGUUAGGAGUGUAUGUAUCAUUCUUGAUCCAAUCCUGCACAGAUCCUGUUUGAUCUGUUUAGUGUUGAACAAUUGCAUUUUAUUUGUGUGUUUGUGUGAAAUUUUAAUAAUAAAUGUACAGUUUUGUGUUG
Astatotilapia calliptera (eastern happy) is the source of this 433-nucleotide long non-coding RNA. The record is from Ensembl. Lineage: Eukaryota; Metazoa; Chordata; Actinopteri; Cichliformes; Cichlidae.